This is a non-coding RNA of Cordylochernes scorpioides, 86 nucleotides long. NCBI's taxonomy places the organism in Eukaryota, Metazoa, Arthropoda, Arachnida, Pseudoscorpiones, Chernetidae. The record is from the annotation of a GenBank genome assembly.
UCCCUCGAGCCGGAUUUGACCAGUGACCUAAGGAUCACCGUUGUAACAUCUAAAGUCCUCCGCUCUGCCAACUGAGCUAUCGAGGG